This 373-nucleotide ribosomal RNA is filed under the name Eocyzicus orientalis. RNAcentral describes it as "partial 16S ribosomal RNA". It matches the Rfam family "Bacterial large subunit ribosomal RNA", at positions 1911 to 2584 of the family's 2925-position model. The record is from RNAcentral. Lineage: Eukaryota; Metazoa; Arthropoda; Branchiopoda; Diplostraca; Eocyzicidae.
UGCCAAUGUAUCAAUGGCCGCGGUAUCCUGUCCGUGCGAGGUAGCAUAAUCAUUAGUCUCUUAUUAGAGGCUGGUAUGAACGGUUUAACGAGAAGUGACUGUCUCUCAUAUUGAAUUUUAUUUUUAGGUGAAAAAGCCUAAAUAAUUCUGGAGGACGAUAAGACCCUAUAGAGCUUUUCUGUUGGGGCGACAAAAAGACAAAAUUCAACUCUUUAUUAAAAUUGAUCCUUAAAGAAAGAUCAUAUGAACAAGUUACCUUAGGGAUAACAGCGUAAUCCUUUUUGAGAGUUCACAUCGACAAAAGGGUUUGCGACCUCGAUGUUGGAUUAAGAAUUUGCUGGGGUGUAGCAGCUCCAGUAAAAGGUCUGUUCGA